This 253-nucleotide ribosomal RNA is filed under the name uncultured bacterium. Its description in RNAcentral is "partial 16S ribosomal RNA". It matches the Rfam family "Bacterial small subunit ribosomal RNA", at positions 524 to 776 of the family's 1533-position model. The record is from RNAcentral.
UACAGAGGUCUCAAGCGUUGUUCGGAUUCAUUGGGCGUAAAGGGUGCGUAGGCGGCGGAGCAAGUCAGGUGUGAAAUCCCGGGGCUCAACCCUGGAACUGCACUUGAUACUGCUUUGCUAGAGUACUGGAGAGGAGAUUGGAAUUUACGGUGUAGCAGUGAAAUGCGUAGAUAUCGUAAGGAAGACCAGUGGCGAAGGCGAAUCUCUGGACAGUUACUGACGCUGAGGCACGAAGGCCAGGGGAGCAAACGGG